Molecule: ribosomal RNA, 169 nt
Filed under: uncultured Clostridiaceae bacterium
Lineage: Bacteria; Bacillati; Bacillota; Clostridia; Eubacteriales; Clostridiaceae
Description: partial 16S ribosomal RNA
Rfam family: Bacterial small subunit ribosomal RNA
Source: RNAcentral
CCUAGGGGAGGCAGCAGUGGGGAAUAUUGCACAAUGGGGGAAACCCUGAUGCAGUAACGCCGCGUGAGUGAUGACGGUCUUCGGAUUGUAAAACUCUGUCAUCAGGGACGAUAAUGACGGUACCUGAGGAGGAAGCCACGGCUAACUACGUGCCAGCAGCCGCGGUAAU